UACGUAGGGGGCAAGCGUUGUCCGGAUUUAUUGGGCGUAAAGAGCGUGUAGGCGGCCUGAAAGGUCAGCUGUGAAAACUCGAGGCUCAACCUCGAGACGUCGGUUGAAACCAUCUGGCUAGAGUCCGGAAGAGGAGAGUGGAAUUCCCGGUGUAGCGGUGAAAUGCGCAGAUAUCGGGAAGAACACCCGUGGCGAAGGCGGCUCUCUGGGACGGUACUGACGCUGAGGAGCGAAAGCCAGGGGAGCAAACGGG
RNAcentral lists this ribosomal RNA (253 nucleotides) under uncultured bacterium. RNAcentral's name for it is "partial 16S ribosomal RNA". It matches the Rfam family "Bacterial small subunit ribosomal RNA", at positions 524 to 776 of the family's 1533-position model. The record is from RNAcentral.